GUUACUGACCCCAACAUCAUAUUAAGACGCGCUUGGUCGGGACUCUUGGCAUCACUUUUUGAUGCUCAGGGUUGGGACGUACGUUUAACUGACAUGCGGCACAAGUGCAGGACAGUUAGUUUUAGCAACAGGUCAAGAGUGGGGUUACAAAAUGGAUAUUUCAUU
Etheostoma cragini (Arkansas darter) is the source of this 165-nucleotide long non-coding RNA. RefSeq lists it as uncharacterized. The record is from RefSeq and is a predicted model, not a curated record. The transcript has 3 exons. NCBI's taxonomy places the organism in Eukaryota, Metazoa, Chordata, Actinopteri, Perciformes, Percidae.